GGGAUUAGUGGCGAACGGGUGAGUAACACGUGGGCAAUCUGCCCUUCACUCUGGGACAAGCCCUGGAAACGGGGUCUAAUACCGGAUACCACUUCCACUCGCAUGGGUGGGGGUUGAAAGCUCCGGCGGUGAAGGAUGAGCCCGCGGCCUAUCAGCUUGUUGGUGAGGUAAUGGCUCACCAAGGCGACGACGGGUAGCCGGCCUGAGAGGGCGACCGGCCACACUGGGACUGAGACACGGCCCAGACUCCUACGGGAGGCAGCAGUGGGGAAUAUUGCACAAUGGGCGAAAGCCUGAUGCAGCGACGCCGCGUGAGGGAUGACGGCCUUCGGGUUGUAAACCUCUUUCAGCAGGGAAGAAGCGAAAGUGACGGUACCUGCAGAAGAAGCGCCGGCUAACUACGUGCCAGCAGCCGCGGUAAUACGUAGGGCGCGAGCG
RNAcentral lists this ribosomal RNA (438 nucleotides) under Streptomyces sp. PC4016. RNAcentral's name for it is "bacterial SSU rRNA". It matches the Rfam family "Bacterial small subunit ribosomal RNA", at positions 88 to 540 of the family's 1533-position model. Lineage: Bacteria; Bacillati; Actinomycetota; Actinomycetes; Kitasatosporales; Streptomycetaceae. The record is from RNAcentral.